Molecule: ribosomal RNA, 492 nt
Filed under: uncultured bacterium
Lineage: Bacteria
Description: partial 16S ribosomal RNA
Rfam family: Bacterial small subunit ribosomal RNA
Source: RNAcentral
AGUGAACGCUGGCGGUAGGCCUAACACAUGCAAGUCGAACGGCAGCACAGUAAGAGCUUGCUCUUACGGGUGGCGAGUGGCGGACGGGUGAGGAAUACAUCGGAAUCUACUUUUUCGUGGGGGAUAACGUAGGGAAACUUACGCUAAUACCGCAUACGACCUACGGGUGAAAGCAGGGGAUCUUCGGACCUUGCGCGAUUGAAUGAGCCGAUGUCGGAUUAGCUAGUUGGCGGGGUAAAGGCCCACCAAGGCGACGAUCCGUAGCUGGUCUGAGAGGAUGAUCAGCCACACUGGAACUGAGACACGGUCCAGACUCCUACGGGAGGCAGCAGUGGGGAAUAUUGGACAAAGGGCGCAAGCCUGAUCCAGCCAUACCGCGUGGGUGAAGAAGGCCUUCGGGUUGUAAAGCCCUUUUGUUGGGAAGGAAAAGCAGCAGGUUAAUACCCCGCUGUUCUGACGGUACCCAAAGAAUAAGCACCGGCUAACUUCGCG